AUUUGUUGGACAUUUGUGUUGUUUCCCAUUCAAGAUUAUUACAAAUAAAGUUGCUAUUCUUGUACAAGUAUUCAUAUGGUUGUAAUAUUUCUUUCUCUCUUUAGUAAAUACCUAGGAGUGGAAUGGCUGGGUCAUGUGUUACCCUUAAGUUAUUCUCUUUUUUUAAAAAUCUCACUUAGUAUGAUAAACUCUAGGUCCAUCCAUGCUGCUGCAAAUGGAAUGCAUUAAAAAAACUUCAUUCUUUUUAAUGGCUGAGUAAUAUUCCGUUGUGUGUGUGUGUGUGUGUGUGUGUGUGCAUGUGUAUAAAAUUAUAUAUAUACCAUAUCUUCUUUAUCUAUUCAUCUAUUGAUGGACAUUUCAGUUGUUUCCAUGCCUUGGCUAUUGUAAAUAUUGUAAAUGAACACAGAGGUGCACGUAUCUUUUCAAAUUAUAGUUUUGUCUGGGUAUUUGCCCAAGAGUGGGUUGCUGGAUCAUAUGGCAACACUAUUUUUAGUUGUUUGAGGAAAUUCCAUCCUGUUUUCCAUAGCGGCUGUACCACCUUAAGUUAUUCUUAAUAUAUUUCCCUUUUUGGCUUAAACCAAUCAAUUUAGAUUGGUCAAGGCCCCUUAACUGGAUAAGGACUCAGUUCCCUUCCUUUUGAGUGCCUCCAAGCUGCCCUGGGCCUGUGUGAGCCAAGGUGCAGCGGCAGACUGAGGGCACACCUUGUUUUCCUGAGCACAUCUCAGUGGAGAAGCAUUGUUGGCUUACAUAAGCACACGGAUCUCUUGCCUCCUGCUAGAGUCUAAAAUCAUGAAAUCUUUUCCAGGUGUGCUCUUGCUGCCUCUGGACUGGAAUGUUAAGUGCUGGUGGAGUUGUUUGGCUUAACAGUCUGAUCAAAAUGUGUCUGUGGAUGGACAAGGAACCACCGCUUGGUCACUGGGCAGUUGAGGAAAAGCUCUUCACACCCCCAGGCUCUUGGGCCUCCAGAGCACUUGAUGGAAACCACUCCUGCAACCACUCCUUCAUCGUCUUCCCACCUCGUGAGCUCUGUGAGGACACGACGCCGCUUGUUCUCCACUGUCCACAUAGCACCUGUGGUCUGGGAGGAUGAUGGUUGCCCAAAAAAGGACGCUUGAGAUGGGGUUUGGGUAGAAAAUCCAGGACAGGUUGAUUCCCAUAAGUGCAAUUCCUCAGAUCACUAAUUUUUUUUAGAAUUGUUUUCUUUUUCUUUUCUUUUUUUUCUUACGGCUGCACCCGUGGCAUAUGGAGGUUCCCAGGCUAGGGGUCAAAUGGGAGCUACAGCUGCCGGCCUAUGCCCCAGCCUCAGCAAGGCGGAAUCUGAGCCUCGUCUGCGACCUACACCAUAGCUCAUGGCAAUGCCAGAUCCCCGACCCCCUGAGUGAGGCCAGGGAUCAAACCUGCAUCCUUACCGAUGCUAGUCGGAUUCGAUUCUGCUUCGCCGCAAUAGCAACGCCCUAGAAUUCUUUUCACUUUUAAUAUGUGUUUCCUAAUUAUAGACUGAUGUAUACUCAAUACAGAUAGGAAAAUAAUACUAAAAAAUCUGAAUACCCCUAAUUGCAUAUGGGAUUGGCAUAUGCACAUUGUGCUAUGUGGAAUGACUGGCCAGUGGGGACCUGCGGUAAAGCACAGGGAACACUACCCAAUACUCUGUGAUAAUCUGUGUGGGAAAAGAACCUGAAAAAGAAUGACUGUGUGUAUAUGUAUACCUGAAUCACUUUGUCGUACAGCACAAAUUAUCGCAACAUUAUAAAUCAACUAUACUCCAAUAAAACUUUAAAAAUGAAAAGAAAAUCUGAAUAC
RNAcentral lists this long non-coding RNA (1800 nucleotides) under Sus scrofa (pig). Its description in RNAcentral is "lncRNA (ENSSSCG00030025806.1)". The record is from RNAcentral. Lineage: Eukaryota; Metazoa; Chordata; Mammalia; Artiodactyla; Suidae.